CCCGAGGUAUCCUGAAUCUUUCGCAUUGUUAAUCAUACAAGUGCAUAUAAUAAACACAAAAAUCAAUGAUAAUCAUGCCCAUUAUAUAAUUUAAAAAAAUUAACGCACUGGUAUUCAUAUAAAUCUAUCAACAUUUUAUCAAAUUUAUGAAAUCUAUUUUAUGUUAACAUGCAAGCAUAAUAAUUCAAAUAGACCAAUAAUUCAUAAUUUUUUGAUAAAUUAAUUUUGCUAAUAGAUUACAAUGUCCUUAUAUGGAAAAAAUG
This 263-nucleotide ribosomal RNA is filed under the name Mycodrosophila n. sp. POG-2002. RNAcentral's name for it is "partial 28S ribosomal RNA". The record is from RNAcentral. Lineage: Eukaryota; Metazoa; Arthropoda; Insecta; Diptera; Drosophilidae.